UACGGAGGGGGCUAGCGUUGUUCGGAAUUACUGGGCGUAAAGCGCGCGUAGGCGGACCUGCAAGUCGGGGGUGAAAGCCCGAGGCUCAACCUCGGAACUGCCUUCGAUACUGCGGGUCUCGAGUCCGGGAGAGGUGAGUGGAAUUCCUAGUGUAGAGGUGAAAUUCGUAGAUAUUAGGAAGAACACCAGUGGCGAAGGCGGCUCACUGGCCCGGUACUGACGUUCAGGCACGAAAGCGUGGGGAGCAAACAGG
Molecule: ribosomal RNA, 253 nt
Filed under: uncultured bacterium
Lineage: Bacteria
Description: partial 16S ribosomal RNA
Rfam family: Bacterial small subunit ribosomal RNA
Source: RNAcentral